GACGAACGCUGGCGGCGUGCCUAACACAUGCAAGUCGCACGGGAUCGGGGGCAACUCCGGUUCAGUGGCAGAUGGGUGCGUAACACGUGAGGAACUUGUCCGACGGCGGGGGAUAGCCGGCCCAACGGCCGGGUAAUACCGCGUACGCUCGUUUGGGGACAUCCCCGGGCGAGGAAAGCAGCCGCAAGGUUGCGCCGAUGGAGAGCCUCGCGGCCUAUCAGCUAGUUGGCGGGGUAAUGGCCCACCAAGGCAACGACGGGUAGCUGGUCUGAGAGGAUGGCCAGCCACAUUGGGACUGAGACACGGCCCAGACUCCUACGGGAGGCAGCAGUGGGGAAUAUUGCGCAAUGGCCGCAAGGCUGACGCAGCGACGCCGCGUGUGGGAUGACGGCCCUCGGGUUGUAAACCACUGGUCGGGGGGACGAAUACAGGGCCUCGAAUAGGGGACCC
Molecule: ribosomal RNA, 450 nt
Filed under: uncultured bacterium
Lineage: Bacteria
Description: bacterial SSU rRNA
Rfam family: Bacterial small subunit ribosomal RNA
Source: RNAcentral